AUGAGAGCCCUUUCAGGAGGGCAGUUCUGCCUCGGGGAGAGGUCAGGGAGGAACCUGUGGGCUGCAGGUGGUGUCUGGGGGGACAGGAAGGAGAGGGCCCGGGGAGGGGGAAAAUGCAGCAGGAAACCAGGGAGACAUAAAGGAGAAGCUGUCUGGAGCCAAGGGGCACAGGAGGGUGGCAGAGGGGGUUCCGGUGCCAGCAGAGCCUUGGUGCCAGCGGGUCCGGCAGCUCUGCCCCAGCCGGGAUCCCCUGAGCAGCUCUGGCUCCUCUCCUGCUGCAGCUCCUUGGGACAUCCCCGUGUCCAUCCCUGUGUCCAUCCCUGUGUCCAUCCCCGCGUCCAUCCCCGUGUCCAUCCCUGUGUCCAUCCCCGUGUCCAUCCCCGUGUCCAUCCCCGUGUCCGUCUGUCCAUCCCCGUGUCCAUCCCUGUGUCCAUCCCCGUGUCCAUCUGUCCAUCCCCGUGUCCAUCCCUGUGUCCAUCCCCGUGUCCAUCCCCGUGUCUUUCUGNCCAUCCCCGCGUCCAUCCCCGUGUCCAUCCCUGUGUCCAUCCCCGUGUCCAUCCCCGUGUCCAGCCGGGCCGGGAGCUCAGCCCUGCUCGCCCGGCAGAGCCUGGCGGCUGCGGUGGCUCACAGGAACCCCUGAACACCCCGGGCGGUGCCCCCGAGCGACCCCGACCCCAAAUAAACCCAUCUGUCGGCUCCUGUGCAGCGUGUCCGUCUGUCAGUGGGUCUGUCUGUCAGCAUGUCCGUCUGUCAGCGUGUCAGUGUGUGUGUCAGUGUGUCGGUGUGUCAAUGUGUGUCAGUGUGUGUGUCCGUGUGUCGGUGUGUCCGUGUGUGUCCGUCUGUCCCCGUGUGUGUGUCCGUGUUGGGCACCGCGGGGCUGGGGCUGCCCUGGGAGCGCGGUGCCAUCCGCUGGGACAGCCUGGGAUCCCCGAGCUCUCCGGUACAGGAUUCCCGAGCUCUCUGAGCUCUCUGGUACAGGAUUCCCCAGCUCUCCGGUACAGGAUCCCCGAGCUCUCUGAGCUCUCUGGUACAGGAUUCCCGAGCUCUCCGGUACAGGAUCCCCGAGCUCUCCGGUACAGGAUUCCCCAGCUCUCCGGUACAGGAUUCCCCAGCUCUCCCAGCUCUCUGGUACAGGAUUCCCGAGCUCUCUGGUACAGGAUUCCCCAGCUCUCCGGUACAGGAUCCCCAAGCUCUCCCAGCUCUCUGGUACAGGAUUCCCCAGCUCUCCCAGCUCUCUGGUACAGGAUCCCCAAGCUCUCCCAGCUCUCUGGUACAGGAUUCCCCAGCUCUCCCAGCUCUCUGGUACAGGAUCCCCGAGCUCUCCCAGCUCUCCGGUACAGGAUUCCCGAGCUCUCUGAGCUCUCCGGUACAGGAUUCCCAAGCUCUCUGGUACAGGAUUCCCAAGCUCUCUGGUACAGGAUUCCCCAGCUCUCUGGUACAGGAUUCCUGAGCUCUCUGAGCUCUCCGGUACAGGAUUCCCAAGCUCUCCGGUACAGGAUUCCCCAGCUCUCCCAGCUCUCUGGUACAGGAUUCCCGAGCUCUCCGGUACAGGAUCCCCGAGCUCUCCGGUACAGGAUUCCCAAGCUCUCCGGUACAGGAUCCCCAAGCUCUCCCAGCUCUCCGGUACAGGAUCCCCGAGCUCUCUGGUACAGGAUUCCCGAGCUCUCUGGUACAGGAUUCCCCAGCUCUCCCAGCUCUCUCCUGCGGGGCAGCCGAGGUUCAGGGGCUGGUGGACACUCGGUGGGACGGGCUGACCCCCGGGAGGGCCCUGGGAACGGAAUCGUGAAUCACAAAAUGUCCUGA
Molecule: long non-coding RNA, 1803 nt
Organism: Cyanistes caeruleus (blue tit)
Lineage: Eukaryota; Metazoa; Chordata; Aves; Passeriformes; Paridae
Source: Ensembl